UAACUUUUAUCGUGUUGGACAAUUUCAUCCACAUUAUCUAUCUCUUAAAUUCAAAAUUUUCAUUGUUUCUAAUAUAAACCAAACAACAAUUUCUUUUAAAUUCAUUUUUUCACACUUCAUAUAAUAUGGCCAAACUGCAUGUAAUUCACAUACAAUAACUAUACUAACCUUUAAGCUCGAUAUAAGGAGAUCCACAAAGGUUAUUAGUUCACCCGAAAUAUCUG
This 224-nucleotide long non-coding RNA is filed under the name Capsicum annuum. RNAcentral's name for it is "long non-coding RNA (CANN_LNC005080)". Lineage: Eukaryota; Viridiplantae; Streptophyta; Magnoliopsida; Solanales; Solanaceae. The record is from RNAcentral.